UCGGACGUGGUGUAUGGUACACACACGCUCGCAUUAGACAGGGUACCGCCUAGAAAGCCGGAGGCCCGGGUUCGACUCCCGGCGUCCGAA
Molecule: non-coding RNA, 90 nt
Organism: Mycena leptocephala
Lineage: Eukaryota; Fungi; Basidiomycota; Agaricomycetes; Agaricales; Mycenaceae
Source: the annotation of a GenBank genome assembly